CGCAGUCCAUCAACAUCUCUUUCUUCCUGAGUCAGGUUCCGAGCGAGAUGGGGUCGCGAUGCAGACAAUGCUGGGCGCGGCGGCGGCGAUCUCCAGCCAGAUCCGGUCGAGGAGUCGAGGCAGGGGCCGGAUCCUGUUCAGGGGACGGCGUGGAGGCGAUCUACAAAUCGCGGGAGGAGGUCAGGCGACGGGGCUUCAACUCCAAGUUCAUGGCGGCGGCGUUCCUCCCCGGUUCCGACCGAGAUGGGGAGCUCCGGCGGAGUCUCUCCAUGGAUAAGGUGGCGCUGCACCUGUGAGAGACAGAGGGAAGGAGAGGGCACGAGAAGCAGCGGGGAAGUUCUGGUGGUGCCCGUCGCCUGCAACAGCUCUCUUGAGUACGUCCAGAGAGAGAUGAGAGAGAGCCGGGAGGAAGAAGGAAAGGAAGGAGACUUCAGGAAGGGGCAGCGGGAUCCUGCAGGGCUGGGUUGGAGCCCCGUGGUAGCUUGCUCUGGUGGUGCUACUACUGUUGUUGGACGGCAGCCGAUGGGACAAGGCCUAGGUAAGAGGAAAAACAUGUGUUGCAUCGACACAUUUGAUGCAGAGCGGCCACUGUAAGUUCCUCUCCCUUCUCUAAUUAGUAUUGAGAUUCCAUUGAUAUUUGAUGGAGAGCAGCCACCAAAAGUUCCUCUUUUGAUGCACCGAAAACAGCUCUCUCUCUCUCUCUAAUUUAUUCUCAGCUAUAGAAUGACGUGUAUCUAUGCUACUUGCUAAUGUGAUGGAUAAUGCAUGUGGAUUGAUUCAUGAAUUAGCAAAAUAUUUCAUGUGAGAUGUGCUAGAGAACGGUUUUGAUCUAAUUGAAUAAUACGAAGUAUUUUAGUUCUGAUGGUAAUAGACGAGCAACUUCAGUUGUAUUUGAUUUCAGUUUUUGUUUUUCAGUAUAUGUUGGUCAAGAUUCAACUUUGUUUAUGUCCAUGUUUUGCUGGUAUAAUGUAUCAUCAAGCUUUCUUUUUAUAUGAUGAUACUGUGUAAAUCAGCAUAUGGAUGUGCAAAAUAUUCUUAGGGGCAUUAGCCUAGACAAGGAUGUUGAUGGUUUACAUCCCUUAAACAUUGGUAAUGUUGCCCUCAGAAGCUGGAAACCUGUGAUUGUUUCUUGUGCUACAAUAUGGAUUUAUCUCAUGGAAAGCACGUGUGGUGAAAGAAAGUCAUUAGCCAAUCCUACAAUGUUUUGGUUUAUUUUUCGGAUAGUCCUUUUUGACUGAUUAAUCAUGUGUGACGUUUCAUGCAGUGAUCUGUCCUAACCAGGAAGACAAUGCUGAGGUAGUACAGGUUACAUCUAUGUUCAGAGAUGAGGCUAAGAUAAAAGAUGCUCAUAGUUAGUUCAUAGUUUGAUUUCAUGAGGAAUCCAUAGGGUGGCGGAUGUUUGCUAUGAGGUGGUGUAUGUACGUGCUGCACCUCAUGGCCGUGCCAUGCUUCCUGCAAGCCAAUUUACUGCUUCUUCCGAGGUCAUAUAGUGAUGAAAUGGCACCGAGAAUCUAAAGCUGGUUCAAUGGUGCCUUCAGCAAAGUCGCCGAGGCUGGUCAUGUUGCCGGCUCAAGAACAACAGAAAAGUCCCAGAUAGUUGUGUCAAAUAUAUCAACCAAAGGACCUGCUGUCGUUGCUUGAGCUUGUUGAGUUUGUUCUGGGAGCUCCUCUUCCUGGGGAAAAUCUGUUGGAAACCUUGAGCAAGCAUCUAAUGUUGGCUGUGUCAUCAAGCUUUGGCUUGUAACUGUGUAUUUCUCUCCUUCUCAUCUUCUUCUUUGAGGAGGUUUAUUUUCAGGGAGUGUUGACAGAUUUGGUAGAGGAUCUAAAUUUUCUUUAGAAUUUUAGAACCACUACCCUUUUUAGUGUCGGUGUUCAGUUGAUUAUAGAUGAUAGUGACAUUUUGGACCAUGGUCCUGGUUCGGUGUGGUUUCAUGAUUGUCAUACAGUACACUAAAUUUUCUGAGUAUUGCACAAGCCUGAGUAAAUAUGGGUCGAGGUUGCUUUCCUCGUUAACUUCGGUUCCGUUCCGGAGUUGUGAGGAUCCGUUCAACUACGUCCGUUUGUCUUCUUCAUGGACUCGUUCUUCUUCCUUGUGGGAUCUCAGG
Triticum urartu is the source of this 2105-nucleotide non-coding RNA. The record is from RefSeq and is a predicted model, not a curated record. Lineage: Eukaryota; Viridiplantae; Streptophyta; Magnoliopsida; Poales; Poaceae.